RNAcentral lists this ribosomal RNA (433 nucleotides) under uncultured bacterium. RNAcentral's name for it is "partial 16S ribosomal RNA". It matches the Rfam family "Bacterial small subunit ribosomal RNA", at positions 29 to 507 of the family's 1533-position model. The record is from RNAcentral.
AACGAACGCUGGCGGCAUGCCUAACACAUGCAAGUCGAACGAUCCCUUCGGGGCUAGUGGCGCACGGGUGCGUAACGCGUGGGAACCUGCCCUUAGGUUCGGAAUAACUCAGAGAAAUUUGAGCUAAUACCGGAUAAUGUCUUCGGACCAAAGAUUUAUCGCCUUUGGAUGGGCCCGCGUUGGAUUAGCUAGUUGGUGGGGUAAAGGCCUACCAAGGCGACGAUCCAUAGCUGGUCUGAGAGGAUGAUCAGCCACACUGGGACUGAGACACGGCCCAGACCCCUACGGGAGGCAGCAGUGGGGAAUAUUGGACAAUGGGCGAAAGCCUGAUCCAGCAAUGCCGCGUGAGUGAUGAAGGCCUUAGGGUUGUAAAGCUCUUUUACCCGGGAUGAUAAUGACAGUACCGGGAGAAUAAGCCCCGGCUAACUCCGUG